Molecule: ribosomal RNA, 483 nt
Filed under: uncultured bacterium
Lineage: Bacteria
Description: partial 16S ribosomal RNA
Rfam family: Bacterial small subunit ribosomal RNA
Source: RNAcentral
GGAUGAACGCUGGCGGCGUGCCUAAUACAUGCACGUCGAACGCUUCACUUCGGUGACGAGUGGCGAACGGGUGAGUAAUACAUAAGUAACCUGGCAUCUACAGGGGGAUAACUGAUGGAAACGUCAGCUAAGACCGCAUAGGUGUAGAGAUCGCAUGAACUCUAUAUGAAAAGUGCUACGGGACUGGUAGAUGAUGGACUUAUGGCGCAUUAGCUUGUUGGUAGGGUAACGGCCUACCAAGGCGACGAUGCGUAGCCGACCUGAGAGGGUGACCGGCCACACUGGGACUGAGACACGGCCCAGACUCCUACGGGAGGCAGCAGUAGGGAAUUUUCGGCAAUGGGGGAAACCCUGACCGAGCAACGCCGCGUGAAGGAAGAAGUAAUUCGUUAUGUAAACUUCUGUCAUAGAGGAAGAACGGUGGAUAUAGGGAAUGAUAUCCAAGUGACGGUACUCUAUAAGAAAGCCACGGCUAACUACGUG